Triticum aestivum (bread wheat) is the source of this 86-nucleotide non-coding RNA. The record is from Rfam. NCBI's taxonomy places the organism in Eukaryota, Viridiplantae, Streptophyta, Magnoliopsida, Poales, Poaceae.
AAGUUGAAUGUGAGAUUUGGAGGGAACCAAAUCUUAAGCUAUCAUGCCACAAGAUUUGGUUUCCUCCAGUAUCUCAUCUUCAACUG